This 1173-nucleotide ribosomal RNA is filed under the name Salmonella enterica subsp. enterica serovar Enteritidis. Its description in RNAcentral is "partial 23S ribosomal RNA". It matches the Rfam family "Bacterial large subunit ribosomal RNA", at positions 1 to 1204 of the family's 2925-position model. The record is from RNAcentral. Lineage: Bacteria; Pseudomonadati; Pseudomonadota; Gammaproteobacteria; Enterobacterales; Enterobacteriaceae.
GGGUUGUGAGGUUAAGCGACUAAGCGUACACGGUGGAUGCCCUGGCAGUCAGAGGCGAUGAAGGGCGUGCUAAUCUGCGAUAAGCGCCGGUAAGGUGAUAUGAACCGUUAUAACCGGCGAUACCCGAAUGGGGAAACCCAGUGUGAUUCGUCACACUAUCAUUAACUGAAUCCAUAGGUUAAUGAGGCGAACCGGGGGAACUGAAACAUCUAAGUACCCCGAGGAAAAGAAAUCAACCGAGAUUCCCCCAGUAGCGGCGAGCGAACGGGGAGGAGCCCAGAGCCUGAAUCAGCAUGUGUGUUAGUGGAAGCGUCUGGAAAGGCGCGCGAUACAGGGUGACAGCCCCGUACACAAAAGCGCAUGUGCUGUGAGCUCGAUGAGUAGGGCGGGACACGUGGUAUCCUGUCUGAAUAUGGGGGGACCAUCCUCCAAGGCUAAAUACUCCUGACUGACCGAUAGUGAACCAGUACCGUGAGGGAAAGGCGAAAAGAACCCCGGCGAGGGGAGUGAAAAAGAACCUGAAACCGUGUACGUACAAGCAGUGGGAGCACAGGUUUACCUGUGUGACUGCGUACCUUUUGUAUAAUGGGUCAGCGACUUAUAUUCUGUAGCAAGGUUAACCGAAUAGGGGAGCCGGAGGGAAACCGAGUCUUAAUUGGGCGUUAAGUUGCAGGGUAUAGACCCGAAACCCGGUGAUCUAGCCAUGGGCAGGUUGAAGGUUGGGUAACACUAACUGGAGGACCGAACCGACUAAUGUUGAAAAAUUAGCGGAUGACCUGUGGCUGGGGGUGAAAGGCCAAUCAAACCGGGAGAUAGCUGGUUCUCCCCGAAAGCUAUUUAGGUAGCGCCUCGUGAAUUCAUCUCCGGGGGUAGAGCACUGUUUCGGCUAGGGGGCCAUCCCGGCUUACCAACCCGAUGCAAACUGCGAAUACCGGAGAAUGUUAUCACGGGAGACACACGGCGGGUGCUAACGUCCGUCGUGAAGAGGGAAACAACCCAGACCGCCAGCUAAGGUCCCAAAGUCAUGGUUAAGUGGGAAACGAUGUGGGAAGGCCCAGACAGCCAGGAUGUUGGCUUAGAAGCAGCCAUCAUUUAAAGAAAGCGUAAUAGCUCACUGGUCGAGUCGGCCUGCGCGGAAGAUGUAACGGGGCUAAACCAUGCACCGAAGCUGCG